Long non-coding RNA from Oncorhynchus gorbuscha (pink salmon), 475 nucleotides. RefSeq lists it as uncharacterized. NCBI's taxonomy places the organism in Eukaryota, Metazoa, Chordata, Actinopteri, Salmoniformes, Salmonidae. The transcript is spliced from 3 exons. The record is from RefSeq and is a predicted model, not a curated record.
GUGUUAUUCUAGGGUUAUAUUGUGAUCUCAUCCAGUACAGCCAGUGUUAUUCUAGGGUUAUAUUGUGAUCUCAUCCAGUACAGCCAGUGUUAUUCUAGGGUUAUAUUGUGAUCUCAUCCAGUACAGCCAGUGUUAUUCUAGGGUUAUAUUGUGAUGUUAUACAGUACAGCCAGUGUUAUUCUAGGGUUAUAUUGUGAUGUUAUACAGUACAGCCAGUGUUAUUCUAGGGUUAUAUUGUGAUCUCAUCCAGUACAGCCAGUGUUAUUCUAGGGUUAUAUUGUGAUCUCAUCCAGUACAGCCAGUGUUAUUCUAGGGUUAUAUUGUGAUCUCAUCCAGUACAGCCAGUGUUAUUCUAGGGUUAUAUUGUGAUGUUAUACAGUACAGCCAGUGUUAUUCUAGGGUUAUAUUGUGAUCUCAUCCAGUACAGCCAGUGUUAUUCUAGGGUUAUAUUGUGAUGUUAUACAGUACAGCCAGU